This 333-nucleotide ribosomal RNA is filed under the name uncultured bacterium. RNAcentral describes it as "bacterial SSU rRNA". It matches the Rfam family "Bacterial small subunit ribosomal RNA", at positions 1161 to 1494 of the family's 1533-position model. The record is from RNAcentral.
AACUGGAGGAGGGUGGGGAUGACGUCAAGUCAUCAUGGCCCUUACGACCAGGGCUACACACGUGCUACAAUGGCGCAUACAAAGAGAAGCGACCUCGCGAGAGCAAGCGGACCUCAUAAAGUGCGUCGUAGUCCGGAUUGGAGUCUGCAACUCGACUCCAUGAAGUCGGAAUCGCUAGUAAUCGUGGAUCAGAAUGCCACGGUGAAUACGUUCCCGGGCCUUGUACACACCGCCCGUCACACCAUGGGAGUGGGUUGCAAAAGAAGUAGGUAGCUUAACCUUCGGGAGGGCGCUUACCACUUUGUGAUUCAUGACUGGGUGAAGUCGUAGCAA